CCCGAAAGCUCCAUAAAAAUUAUUUUCCACCGCGGACAGCUCGUCUUCCAAUUUAUUCCCAUUCGACUCGCUCCCGAUACAUAUUCAAGAAUCGAUAUUCCCCGCCUGCCCCCGAAAAAAAUUCUUUUGUGCCAAAUAUUGGAAUUGCUUUUUUCCUCGAAAGCCGCCUUUGUGCUCGCAAGCCACGCGAACCGAAAACGGGAUGAAAAGAGCACGUGGAUGUCAUGCAGGGCAAUGACCGAGAUAAGGGCGACACCACGCAACCAACCCCUGUCGGUUUCGACCCUCGUUAACGCGACCCAGUACCGACUCCUGGCAUAACCAGGCACAGAAACGCUGAAAUCGUACUCCCAUUAGUUCCGGAAACCGUGGCAGAACGAUAUUUGUUGCGGAACAUUAUUUUAAGCGCACGCGAACAUAAAUGCAACGACGAGAACUUAUUGCAGAGUGAAACCGUGGCAGAUAUUUUGUGACUAACAAAAGGAAAAAA
Molecule: unclassified non-coding RNA, 490 nt
Filed under: Bombus terrestris (buff-tailed bumblebee)
Lineage: Eukaryota; Metazoa; Arthropoda; Insecta; Hymenoptera; Apidae
Description: misc RNA ENSBTSG00005026976.1
Source: RNAcentral